GUGAGUCAUCGAAUCUUUGAACGCACAUUGCGCCCCGUGGCAUUCCGCGGGGCAUGCCCGUUCGAGCGUCAUUACACCACUCAAGCCUGGCUUGGUAUUGGGCGGCGGGCUCCGGCCCCCGCCUCGAAAUCGUCGGCUGGACGGUCGGAAUCUUAGCGUUGUGGCAACUAAUUCGCUAGCGAGGACGACCGGACGCGCCGUUAAACCUCUUCUCACAGGUUGACCUCGGAUCGGGUAGGGAUACCCGCUGAACUUAAGCAUAUCAAUAAGCGGAGGA
RNAcentral lists this unclassified non-coding RNA (277 nucleotides) under Capnodiales sp. RNAcentral's name for it is "partial contains 5.8S ribosomal RNA, internal transcribed spacer 2, and large subunit ribosomal RNA". The stretch from base 1 to 71 matches the Rfam family "5.8S ribosomal RNA", at positions 84 to 154 of the family's 154-position model. Lineage: Eukaryota; Fungi; Ascomycota; Dothideomycetes; Capnodiales. The record is from RNAcentral.